CCUACGGGAGGCAGCAGUGAGGAAUAUUGGUCAAUGGUCGGGAGACUGAACCAGCCACGCCGCGUGAGGGAGGAAGGUACAGGGUAUCGUAAACCUCUUUUGUCAGGGAACACAGGCGGGGACGUGUCCCCGGAUGAGUGUACCUGAAGAAAAAGCAUCGGCUAACUCCGUGCCAGCAGCCGCGGUAAUACGGGGGAUGCGGGCGUUAUCCGGAUUUAUUGGGUUUAAAGGGUGGUCAGGGGGUGUGUUAAGUCAGCGGGCAACGCCCGGGGCUCACCCCCGGCCCGCCGUUGAAACUGGCAGUCUCGAGUGGGAGAGAAGCAUGCGGAAUGCGUGGUGUAGCGGUGAAAUGCAUAGAUAUCGCGCAGAACUCCGAUUGCGAAGGCAGUAUGCUGGCCCCACACUGACGCUGAGGCACGAAAGCGUGGGUAUCGAACAGGAUUAGAUACCCGAGUAGUC
RNAcentral lists this ribosomal RNA (459 nucleotides) under uncultured bacterium. RNAcentral's name for it is "partial 16S ribosomal RNA". It matches the Rfam family "Bacterial small subunit ribosomal RNA", at positions 338 to 795 of the family's 1533-position model. The record is from RNAcentral.